Spodoptera frugiperda (fall armyworm) is the source of this 2890-nucleotide long non-coding RNA. RefSeq lists it as uncharacterized. The record is from RefSeq and is a predicted model, not a curated record. The transcript is spliced from 2 exons. NCBI's taxonomy places the organism in Eukaryota, Metazoa, Arthropoda, Insecta, Lepidoptera, Noctuidae.
CAUUAAUGCUCAUGAUGAAGAGUCCCCUGUGACUCGAAACUAGUAGAGCUUUCCAUUAAUGUACGUGAGUAAACCGUGAUUUUUAGAUAAUUUAUUAAAUCUAGAAAUUCUUUGAAAUAGGAAUAAGGAAUUCUAAGUUGUUCUUAACCGACUUAAAAAAAAGAACCGUUUCUCAAUUCAUCUUUUCAAUAAGAUUAAAAGAAAAUUUCUAUAAUUUAGUUUAUAAUUAAGUUAAAAUAAUUAAUUAUAAUCAUUUAUGUAAUUUUACUUAAAUCUUAGUUAAUUUCAGUAUAUUGUAAUUUUAUUAUAUUUUGUGAAUAUCAUCCAAAAUAUAUUUUUAAAUAUUACUUUUGCUGGCGCAUCACAUACGCCUGUAGUCUCCGUAGACGACACGGGCGGACGACACCGGGGAAGCGCGCGGUCGGGGACUCGGGGUACUGAACGCGGCAGCGCUCGCGCCACGGCGCGGCCACUAAGCUCUCAGACGCGUUAGACUUCGGGCAUUUCAAUUUUCAUUGUUCUAAUACUAAAUAUUUGUAAUUACGGUAUUAAACUUAUUUAUACAGUCCAUUCUCUUUUAUUAAGUCCCAACCGAACCAUCAUAUGUAAUUUUCCAACUUCAUAUAGGUAACUGUAAAGAUUUAAAAAUGGUUUUAUGUUAAAAUAACAAAUUAAUACAUUGAAAAAAAUGGGGUUUUUCAUUUUUUAUUAUAAAUUUAUAGCAUGAUAAUAAAUUAAUAAAGAACCAACCCACACACAGAUAGUUUUUCAAUAAGGAACCAUCUAAGUUUUCGGUGUUAUUUAAAUUCGAUUAGGUGUUAUUUAAAAUACUAAUUAUUUUCAUCAAUAUUAGCUUUGUAUACACAGAACAAAGUAUUUGGUACAAUAUUGUAAAUAAACUUUAUCCAAAAUUACAUACAAUUUUAAUGUAUACAAAAUUUACACAAAAAUUGCUUUUUCUCAAAACUGUCAUCGUGUGGGUUGGUUCUGUGUUGCGUAAGUAGGUACGUCCAUCCUAUUUCAAUAUGCAAACAAGAACCAAUCCGCAUGGUACUAUUUAUUUGAUUAAAAAACUAAAAAUCAAAGGGACCAAAUGGUAUGGGUCUUAUUGAAAAAAAAAACAGUUUCAACAAUUUUUCAGGAUUGUUGGGUGACUAUGGGAUAUGGAUCUUGUUAGUUUAUUGAAUAAUUGCGGUUAAUUACCAAAUUGUUGGUUGGUAUCUUUGUCAUAAAAUUGUUUUGUUCUGUCAAAGUUGUCAGAUCAUUUUGAUAUUUACAAGGUCGAUAGAAGAGUUAUUUUUGAAACUUUCUGUGUCCUUAUCUUGAUUUUGACAAUGGUGUGGAUUGUUUCCUUUUUGCAUAAGUGCUGAAAUGGAACGUCAAAUGAUAUAUUUCAUGGAUAAAAGAAAGAGACUGGAUUGGCCUUGUGGGCGGGCCACGCGCGCCGAGGGUGCGAGCCGGCGUACUGCGCGCUGUCAAACGCUCAAAUGUUCAUACUUACCGGCUAGCAAUCGCUGUCAUGUUUUGACAGCGUACGUAUCUCCGCAAAAAUAUUAUAUUAUGCCGUCUUGCGCUAUUAUAACGUGUCGGAAAAGAAGCCAGGUGUGUAGCAUAGCACGAGAAGGAAUUUCUUUUCACCGGUUUCCAACAGAUCCAGGUGUAAGAAAAUUGUGGAUUGACACAACUGGUAGAAUUAAUUGGAUUCCUACUAAAUGUAGCAUAAUUCGUUCGCAACAUUUCGAUGUUGAUAAUUACAUAAUAACAAAGUCAGGGAAAAUAAACUUGUAACACGCCGCCUUUUCGUAAGCAUCGUACACGGUGAGCGGGAAAGCCACCGCUCGCCCGCGGUCUUACCGCGCAUGCGCCGCGCGCGACGCGCGCGCCACCCGAUCGCCGAGGGACGCGGACGCGGACGACGCCACAGUCCGCCUCCACUCGCCAUCGCGUGAUACACGAAUCGCUAUCUCUCAUAAUCUGUGUUCUAACGUACCUAUUUACUAUGUUAGUGUAACGUUCUGAUUUCUGAUGUGAAUAUGAAUAGACAUUUAUAGUUAAAGACUUGGUUUCAUUCAAUUCGCCCACAAAAUCUCGUAACUAACUGUUUACAAACUUAAAAUUAGGCGUUUAUCCGCACAAAUAUAUCGCAAUGUGUAAUUCAGUAAGUAAACUGAUUUUAUUUUAGAAAAUUUUAUAUUGGUCUCUUUAAAUCAGUUUUUUUGUCUAAAAAUGGCGAUAUUUAAAAUAUCAUCUUUCGUAAAUUUAAAAAACGAAAAAAUUAAAUAAUAUAACCAUGUUAUUUCAAUGUGUUCUGUACUUUAUACAAAUUAUUGUAAAUGUGAGAGCCCUGUAAUUAGCUAAAAUUGAAUUAGACUAGUAGAAUGCAUUUGUGUCAGCUUAGAGUUGUCAUGCUCACUCAAAGGUCUCAUUGGCGGUGGCACGGGCGUUGGAUCGUUCGAUUCCCUGCAACAUGGUUGAGUUGGGCGGUGCUGGUGUACGUGCCAUGUUGGUGAACGGGCGCUGUCAACUGGGACUGGGUCAGCUCCAGACUGUAUUAAUUUUGUUGUUGUUAAGGUUUUUUUUUCUAUCGCUUUGACUGUAUAUUAGUUUUACAUUGUUCUCACAUAGCUGAAGCAAUCGAUGCAAAGAAAAGCAAUGUAACCAAGAAUUGUAUUGUGAAUCUGAUUGAAAAAGAUUAACCUAUGGAUUUUCUUGCUCGUUCUUCUCCAUAGGAAUCUACACUUUGGAACGAGCAAAUAGCUUCACUAGAGGACUGACCGACAGACAGACGUUAUUAACAUUAUUAUAUUAGUUUUGACGUUCAAAAGUACCUUUGAUUUAAUUUUUUACUUAUUUUUAACUUAUUGAGUAAUAAAAUUGGUUUUAAAAUUCA